Molecule: long non-coding RNA, 785 nt
Organism: Mandrillus leucophaeus (drill)
Lineage: Eukaryota; Metazoa; Chordata; Mammalia; Primates; Cercopithecidae
Exons: 2
Source: RefSeq, a predicted model, not a curated record
GAAGCUGAGAAACUGCUGGAGCGCCAGGGUCAGGCAAAAACCCCUGACUCCAUGUUCUUGGCCAUGCUAGCUGUAGUGUCCUGUGCGUCUAUAGGAUCAGGUGAACCACCAACCAGCAAUUGAAAGCUGCACAGCCUGAAAUUACCUUUAUUCAAUUAAUGCAAAAACAAAAAGGGGGAGAUGUUGGAGGCCGAAGGAAUGAGGGUCGUGACCAACUCAAUAUACCACUGGAGGCUCUAUGAGCGAACAGCAAACUGUUCUCAUGAAAGCAAGAUGCUGGCAAACUGACAAACUGUGUCUGCCACCAGAAGGAAUGCUGGGGGCAGUCAUGUCCCAGGUCCCAUGCUCCUUGAGGUUAUCUACAGGAACAUCUAGAACCUGUUGAACAAAGAAAGCAAUCAUGUGGGCCUGUGUUAAAUAGCUGACUGACAGUUACCCCUUCCUCCCUAUUCACUCUACCUAAUAAAUAUGAAGGGCUGUAAAAGCUCAGGGCCCUUGUUCCCUAGAAUCAAGGAGCCCCCUGACCCCUUCUUUCAAACAGAUCCUUUUGUCUUUGUCUCAUUUCUGCAUUCAUCCUCCUCCGUUCAGUCCAGAAGCAACCGUGACAGUCCUGCAUGUGUUGAUGCCACCUGUCUGUGCAGGUGUGACCUCAGGUGUGUGAGUAUCCCUUAUACUUGUUAUCAUCACUGCCUAUUUGCUCUUCCUCCAGCCUCUGGCAACCACUAAUCCACGUUAUGUGUCUAGAUUUGCCUCUUCUGGAUACUUCAUAUAAAUGAAGUUAUACA